This 488-nucleotide ribosomal RNA is filed under the name uncultured beta proteobacterium. RNAcentral describes it as "bacterial SSU rRNA". It matches the Rfam family "Bacterial small subunit ribosomal RNA", at positions 90 to 575 of the family's 1533-position model. The record is from RNAcentral. Lineage: Bacteria; Pseudomonadati; Pseudomonadota; Betaproteobacteria.
GGCGAGUGGCGAACGGGUGAGUAUAUAUCGGAACGUACCCAAGAGUGGGGGAUAACGUAGCGAAAGUUACGCUAAUACCGCAUACGAUCUAUGGAUGAAAGUGGGGGAUCGCAAGACCUCAUGCUCCUGGAGCGGCCGAUAUCUGAUUAGCUAGUUGGUGAGGUAAUGGCUCACCAAGGCGACGAUCAGUAGCUGGUCUGAGAGGACGACCAGCCACACUGGAACUGAGACACGGUCCAGACUCCUACGGGAGGCAGCAGUGGGGAAUUUUGGACAAUGGGCGCAAGCCUGAUCCAGCAAUGCCGCGUGAGUGAAGAAGGCCUUCGGGUUGUAAAGCUCUUUUGUCAGGGAAGAAACGGCUGGGGCUAAUAUCCCCGGCUAAUGACGGUACCUGAAGAAUAAGCACCGGCUAACUACGUGCCAGCAGCCGCGGUAAUACGUAGGGUGCAAGCGUUAAUCGGAAUUACUGGGCGUAAAGCGUGCGCAGG